GUUGUCUACUUUCUACUCGCAGUUGCCCAUUAUCACCUCUGCAUAAAGGUGAUCAUAGAUAUAUAAAAAAGCACCACAACAAUUAGCUCUGGCAAUAAAUUUACGACUUAAAUAAACAGCAGUGGAAACAAUGAAUAUAAAAAAAAAAAAAUCCAUCCAAGUACCUCAGGAAAACAAAAACAUCCCCUCCUGCAUUACUUAACGACUUGAAAGUCAGAAAUGCACUCUAGCCUGAUAAUUAUAUGUUAAUCCAAAGAAAUAGAACCAUUUAUUCAUUUCUCAAUGUGCUAUCGAUACCAGAAACAUACGACAAACGGCACAAAUGCAGAGAGAAAAUUACAAAGAAGGUGAAACAUCCGUCCUUGAGGAGCCAAAAGAGCACCUCACAAGUGAGAAGAUAUGAGAUCGUUAAAAAAAUUCAGAGUAAGGUAUGCCCGAUUUUGUUGCUAGUGUAACGUAGGAAAUGAAGAGAAAUCUUGAUGCAUUUUAGUGUAGUAAAUGGAAAGAAAAAUGAAACACCACAAUUGAAAAUGAUGCCAAGAAAACAUUUUUUGAUUAUCACCUUUACCAUACUUGGGAGUUGACCAACCAAACCAAUAUAACAGCACUUACUGCAAUCAAUUCCUGACAUAUUGGGAUGAUUUUCCAAUUUCUAGAAACCGAAACAAAAUAUAAUCUUAUUUUUUUUGUUUUUCUCCGCUCACUGACUGCCUGAAGAGGGGUUAUAAAAAUGAGAUGAAGUGCAAGAGGCCCUGAACUAUUGAUCUUCUGAUUGUUGUAUGAUAACAAAAUUGUUGCACAGUCCCUCCAUCCUAAUUUGUCUUUCCACAUUAUCAUUUUUGGAUGGCCCAAUAUAUUUUAUCCAUUUUGAAAAGUCAACUACCAAAAUGUUGUUAACUUCCCAGUUUGUCCUUUCACGUUUCAAUUGAUGUGACAUUUUUAUUUUUUUAGUUUUCGGUAAAUUUUAAAUUGUUGAACGGUAAUUUUGGAAAGUAAAAACUUUUAAAUGAAGACUCCUUAAAGAGUUGUUAACUUCCCAGUUUGUCCUUUCACGUUUCAAUUGAUGUGACAUUUUUAUUUUUUUAGUUUUCGGUAAAUUUUAAAUUGUUGAACGGUAAUUUUGGAAAGUAAAAACUUUUAAAUGAAGACUCCUUAAAGAGUUGUUAACUUCCCAGUUUGUCCUUUCACGUUUCAAUUGAUGUGACAUUUUUAUUUUUUUAGUUUUCGGUAAAUUUUAAAUUGUUGAACGGUAAUUUUGGAAAGUAAAAACUUUUAAAUGAAGACUCCUUAAAGAGUUGAAAUCUUCAUAAUAGACAAAAAAUAAUAUUGGGAUGGAGGGAAUACUAUGUUAAGUGAACUAAUGUUUAGUUAAGAAUUAUUAGUUUGCAGUUAUAAUGUAGAAAAUACUACCACUACCAGCUCAGCAGUUUCUGCAUUCUGGUUUUCUGUAUCACCAAGCCCCCUUGUAUCCAGCCGCUAAGGUAGAAUGACUGAUGGCCAACGAAAUGAAAGCCAAGCGGUCUGGCCAUCCAAGCAUAAGGAACUUAAAAACAAUAUCUCACUCAUAGCAGCAUCUACUUUAGCUCAAGGCUAUGGGGAGAUGGAACAUGGCUUCCUCAAUUUGGGAAUGGUUCUCUGAAUCUGUGUUUCAAAACAUGAUAGGAGACAACCAAGAUGCAGCAGCUCAAUCUAUUCCUUCUGAUUAUUCAUCUUAUGUGCGUCAAGGCCGAGCAAUAAUGUAUCACUUGAUAAUGUUAAGGGGAAAAGAUCUGAGGCUUCUAUUGACACUCAUACCCACGUCAUAACUGUAUGUAACAUGUAGUGUGGGGAAAUAGAGGAGUCCAUGUAGCAUUGUUAACAAUGUUAGACAAACUCAGAUCAGACCCAUAGUAGGUGACCUUGGCUAUAUUCCUUUAAGCAUUCAUUGCUGAAUAGAUUAUAAAUAAUAAAAAAGAAAGAGUCGAACAACAUGUUAAAGGUAUACUGGGUCAAUUCUUCUUACCUGUUGGAUACUUUGGGGGACAUAGGACCAUUGGUUUUUGCAGCAUAAAUACUUCUAGUUGUAUUUGGCAGGCAAUGGCUAUUCCUAUGUUCAGAUGACUGGUUUAAUGUAAGAAUUUAGUUUAUUGAAUGAAACAAGCAAAAUAACUACCAUACCUGGUCAUGUGAUAAAAAAUAUAGGUAGAUCUUCAACCAAUAUGCAGACAUUACAUCCAGUAAAAGAAUGUGGGCACGGCAUCCCUGGAUUUUACCCCAUUAAGCAAGCUAUACAAAACAUAGGUAGAUCUUCAACCAAUAUGCAGACAUUACAUCCAGUAAAAGGAUGUGGGCACGGCAUCCCUGGAUUACCCCAUUAAGCAAGCUAAACUUUUCAAAACCUGUCAAAUAACUAAGAACAUUUCUUCAUGUUUAUAUUUACUUUUUGACCAACAAACAAUUUACUUGUUCAGUAAAUACAUUAGCGAAGAAACAUCAUCAAAUCAAGUUCAAUAAAUGGAAAGAAUUUGGUUUUUCCGAUCAAACAAGAUCCUAUCUCAACCAUAUUAAUGCAACAGAUUUAUAAGUUUUAUUGUCAUAACAAUUACUAAAAAGUCCCGAGGAAAGGAGUUCGUCCUCUAAGCCAAGUAACCAUAGGCUGUCACCGCGGACAAUAUUUUACAAUUACACACAAGCAUGCACUUAAAUAAACCAAAUAUACUAUCUUGUUCUGUUUGCAGCCCUUAACCCAAGGCAAAAACAGGAAAGUCAUGUAUUUGUCACCUUAGAACACAUGACUUUUCUGUUAUGCGAGAAAAGGAAGGAGAUAACCCCACCCCACCCCCAAAAAUUAAAAAAUAUUAAUCAAGCACCGUUAAGGAGAGGCAAGAGGAAGAAAAUAGUUACUAAAACAAACAAAACAGACCGUGCAAGGAUACCCAAAAAAAUCAAGCAAAGUUAAAAGGGCUAGAGGGAGAACAUGGUUACCAAAAAAUAAUCCAAGAGAAUACUAGUCGAAGAUGCGAGUGUGAUUUGAAUUUGUGGAGACUACUUUCUUCUAUAUCUCCUGUUAUGAGUUACGAAAUAUUUAACUCUAUUAAAAGAGUUACAAAAAAAUAUGAAAAUAAGCUAUGUAGUAGAGAAUUACCAAAAUUAGGAAAAGGAGAUGCAAUUUUUUUCCCGGGGACGUUAGAAUGAGUGAGUGUGUUAAACAUACACGCAAUCCUUAGAAGUUUUGAGAGUGUUCAGCCGGUCCUUUCUCAUAUAGAAAAAGUAGAGAGAUAAUUGAAGCGUCCAUCAAAAUAAUGUCGAAAUACAAAACAUUUGGGAGGAGCUGAGAAUAAAAUUGGGCACUAUAUCCAAUUAGAGAACAACUAUUUAUUGGCAAUCCGUGAAAUUGGGCAAUGUGUCCAAUUAGAGAACAACUAUUUAUUUGCAAUCCGUGAACUUAAAAGAUUUGGCACAGGAUGUUGAGCUUUCUUAUUUAUACCAAAGCAAUAAUAACUAUCAACUUUGAAAGUAACUAAAAAUAAUAGGGGAUGCCCCGUCUGUAUGUAACUACAAAUAUUUCUAAUUCGUAACUGUAAUGUGUGUAUAGUGGGCUCCAUUAUGCCUACGUGGUAAUUCAUUAUUGGAUGCUGAUAUCACAUGUUAGUGUGUCACUCUUCCAAUGAAUCUUUUUUACAUUUUCAAAAAAUAAGGAAAACACAACAACAACAACAACAAAUUAGAAUCUCGAAAAGCAAUAGAGUAAAUUGCAUGAAGACCGAUACCAUGGAUUCAUCAGAGCCCCCGCAACAGAAAGUCUCCUGAGAUUCUUUGAGAAUUGAUCAAAGUUUGCAUAUGCACCUCUGGACAUUAAGGUUAGAUAUCCCAAAACAAAGAAAUAUAUCAACCCAUUCAUUGAUCAAUUAUUCCACUCCUACAAACCAAAGAAAAAAUAAAUAAUAACUGUUAACACAUUAAUAAAUAAGAGGAAGAAACUGAUAUCAAGAAAAGUUCACAACCCAAACACAUUCAAGUGGGUUCAGGUUCGCCUAAUCAAGUUCAAUGCAUAAAAAUACGAAAAGGAAAAUUUUGAAUGGAAGAGAAUAGACAACAAGUUAAUUAAUGUAUAAAAUAUUAAACCCAACACAGUCGGGGAAAACAAAAAGAAAGGAGAAAAAAGGAGGUUAUACCAAAUCCAUAUUGUAGAUCAACUUUCCUCAUCAAAAUAGCUUAAACACAGUUUCUCUAUAUAUAGUUGAAUCUCUCCCGUAAACAAUAAAUAGAAGAAAAGAAAAAACAAUGCGACCCAUUGAAUCAAAUAUCAAAUCAGCCUGUUAAUAGAAGACAAAAAAUGUGAAAAGUUUGAUAUACCUCACCCAGGUUGCUCUUUGUUUGUUUGGAUGGAACGUCAGUACUCAUUUCCCUUCUCAAUGAUAUGAUGAAUCAGGUUUCCUUUAGUUUUAAAUGAAAGAGAGGUGGGAUCAGGAGUUUUGGAGAGGUAGAAAAGAUGCCAAUGAGAGUGAAAAUAUGGAGGUUUUAUGGUUUUUUGAGAAUUUUUAAAAUUAACGAUAUAGUGCCACAUUCACUAUAUUUGCUUAGCAUAUAGGAUAAACAUAUAGAUUGUUUAGCUAUUUCACUAUCUUGUCAUGGUUUAUUUGAAAUUAAGAAUUCCAAACCCAAACCACACAGGAGCAAAAGAUAACAACACAAGGAAAGUUAUCAACCAACAUUCAUCCAUCACGUAUAAGAAGAAGAUUCAAAAUUCUAAAUUGAAACUCCAAAAAGGAGACAAAUGGUAAUAACGUAAGCAAAUCUAUCAACCACAACUCAUCCAACAGUAACACAGACUAAGAAGAAUAUCGCAAAUUCUGGAGUCAAACUAUACAAAAAAGAAAGAAUAACGGCAACAACAUCAGCAGAAUGAUAAAACAAGAUUCAUCCAAUAUUCCAAAAUUCCGGACCCAAACUACACAAAAGGAAAAAGGUAAGAACAUCAACAAAAUGAUCAGGAAAGGUUCAUCAAGCAGUUAUAAAACCAUUUAAAAAAUAGUUACAUCAUGCUAUGUAAAAUUUAGAAAUUACACCAUCACAAAUUUGUAAUCAAUAAACAUAACUCAAUACUCUUAAUUUACACUCAAAUCCCCGAAACUGAAUUAAGAUUUACACUUUUACCAGAUUUUAAAGCAGAAUCAUCCAAAACUUUGCUCUGAAAAUAUCUCUGGUGUCACGGAGAUAUAGAUUACAAUACUGAGAAGACCAAAGAAAAUUACAAUAUCAGAAUAAAAAAGGCCAAACUUAACCAAAUCACAUUAGUUGAAAGUAACUGAUUGUACCGUAAGAAAAGAAGUUUCACUAACGCAAACAAAAUGUGUUCCAAAAUCAAAUGGAAAUUAGGGCCUCCAACUUUACUGAACCCGAGAUAAUUUAGACAUAUCACAAAAUAGUUGGCUCAAAAUUCUAACUCAAAUAAUUACAAUCAAAUCAACAAAUUAUUUUCAACAAAAUCCUACUCUACCAAUGAUAUAACACAGUUCCAUCCCAUCUCCACCAAUCGUUACCCAUAUCUUCUUUAGGUAAGUCACUUCCAUAAUGUUACAAUACAAACAGUAUUAUAUUCAAAAACACAAAUAAAAUAAAAUAAAAUAAAUAAAAUCUUCGAAUCUUUGAGAGCGUUUUCAGAGUUUCACUGAGAGGGUUUCAGUGAGAGCCUUAAAGGAGUGAGAGAACUGAGAACCUUCAAAGAACAAACGAGCGAAAGUAGCUCACACUCGAAGGUAGAUAAUCAAACUAAUCAAGAAAAGCAAGGAAUUCACACAUUCGUCAAUCUCACCUUGAAUUGAUAAUUAAUCGAAUAACUUGAAGAAAAUUAGCGAUAGAUUAAACUAAGUUUUGAAACAAGAAGUUCUCACCAACACGAUGCAGAUCGGUUCAAAGCCGCUCAGUGAAACUCCGAAAACGCUUUCAAGAACCGAGAACCUUCAAAGAACGAACGAAAGAAAGUAGCUCACGAACUCGAAGACAGACAAUCAAACUAAUCAAGAAAAGCAAGGAAUUCACACAUUCGUCAAUCUCACCUUGAAUUGAUAAUUAAUCGAAUAACUUGAAGAAAAUUAGGGAUAUAUUAAACUUAGUUUUGAAACAAGAAGUUCUCACCAACACGGUGCAGAUCGGUUCUUGGAUUACUGAUCGCCCGGCCAUCGCCAUCUCUCUCGCACUGGCUCCUCUCGCUCUCUGCGCAAAAUAGCUUUCCCGAUAGAAUUGGGAGUAUUUAUACACAAUAAUUUGCGUUAGACCGCCAUUGUAGUUUGGAACUUUGGAUUGGGAUCCCGGCCCAUUGUUUUGAAAAGGAAACUUGAGUCCACGUCUUUUUAUCUAGUCCAUGAUUUAAAAAUUUUAUUAAAAAAGAAAAUAUUCAUAAUUAAUUUCUGCUCCAUUCCAUUUGUUGAAUAUAAAAUAUUU
Molecule: long non-coding RNA, 6423 nt
Filed under: Actinidia chinensis (golden kiwifruit)
Lineage: Eukaryota; Viridiplantae; Streptophyta; Magnoliopsida; Ericales; Actinidiaceae
Description: long non-coding RNA (ACHI_LNC001645)
Source: RNAcentral